CCUGGCUUGCUUCUGCCUGAAGCCGAAAGAAGGUAAGCCCCACACCUUGGAGACAGCGCCCUUUGACUAAAGGCCUGUGGGAAAAUCUCAUUUUCAUUUCUUCUCAUUCUCAUUCUCUUCCAUCCAGAUGACAUCAUCAUUGAAGAUAUAUAGGUAGUGCGGACCUCGGGCUCCACUGGGCAUCAGAAAGAGACCAACAUCCAAAUGCACUUGGCAGGUGACAGAACGAUGCUGGCAAGACCUCCUUCUCCAUCUUUUCAUGGUGGCAGAAGGGAAGCAGUGGCUGUGGGACCAGAUCAGUAUAUAUGAUCUACUCCCUGUAUAACUCCACGUGUCAAGAAGAAAAAGAGCUGGAAGAGAAUGGAAUAAAAAUGAAUAUUUUUAAAUGGAUUUUG
Podarcis muralis (Common wall lizard) is the source of this 395-nucleotide non-coding RNA. Lineage: Eukaryota; Metazoa; Chordata; Lepidosauria; Squamata; Lacertidae. The record is from RefSeq and is a predicted model, not a curated record.